AUUGAACGCUGGCGGCAUGCCUUACACAUGCAAGUCGAACGGCAGCGCGGGAGCAAUCCUGGCGGCGAGUGGCGAACGGGUGAGUAAUACAUCGGAACGUGCCCAAUCGUGGGGGAUAACGCAGCGAAAGCUGUGCUAAUACCGCAUACGAUCUACGGAUGAAAGCAGGGGAUCGCAAGACCUUGCGCGAAUGGAGCGGCCGAUGGCAGAUUAGGUAGUUGGUGAGGUAAAGGCUCACCAAGCCUUCGAUCUGUAGCUGGUCUGAGAGGACGACCAGCCUCACUGGGACUGAGACACGGCCCAGACUCCUACGGGAGGCAGCAGUGGGGAAUUUUGGACAAUGGGCGAAAGCCUGAUCCAGCCAUGCCGCGUGCAGGAUGAAGGCCUUCGGGUUGUAAACUGCUUUUGUACGGAACGAAACGGUCUUUUCUAAUAAAGAAGGCUAAUGACGGUACCGUAAGAAUAAGCACCGGCUAACUACGUG
Molecule: ribosomal RNA, 484 nt
Filed under: uncultured bacterium
Lineage: Bacteria
Description: partial 16S ribosomal RNA
Rfam family: Bacterial small subunit ribosomal RNA
Source: RNAcentral